GGUCUCAUAGGAAAUACGUACCUCUGCGCACUUUUUUGCAGCGCCACAAAUAUGUACCACCAGGUACGUAUUGCUAUAGUUCUGAAACAAAAACGUCCACUGGGGUCGCUAAAGAGAAGGACAUGUUACAUUUCGAUUAACAGUCAGAGGUUCCCGACAUAUGAAAGUGAUAGAAAAGCAGCAGAGAUGCCAGGAAGCACACAAAAAAUAUGCACAGGGUGCAACAACCUAAUAAGUGUUGCUUAUAAGACCUGCCCGCAUUGCAAACAAGUGCAGCCAUAUAAAGCAAAAGUUGCAUCUCUUCGCUGCAACUUUCAAAAUAAAAAAUCGGAAUGGAAGGCAUCGCUGAAGAAAAACAACAACAGGACGGUCGUCCUUAAUAGCAGCCAUGUGUUGGUAAGGUUAGGUCAGGGCUAAGGGAUUUAUGAAGUGAAGUCAGUUAUCACAGUAAAGUUUAACAGUCAAUAGCCAUGUUUCCAUGUGAUUGUAAAGCAAACUUUUGAAAUGUUGCAAAAAAAAGAGAAAAAUGUAAUCAAAUGUGAAUCAGGUGUGUUUCCAUCAACUGGUUUGGAGUAAAUAAAUUAAGAUCCCGCGAGGUGAUCCUCCCGCACUGAGGACGCCCCUAACCUGCCCUGUUUACCACCUGCUUUUGGGCUGCAUUCAUAAACAUCCCGCCCUUUAGGAGACGGGACCUCGGCGCUACAGGGGCCAUUACCGGUGUGGUGCCAAAUUUAAAAAACCUGCCAGAUUAAGAUCACCCUAGUAAUGGAAGUUUUGGAGUAGGUUUGGGUUAGGAUUAGGGGUGGGGUUAAGAUUCAGAUAGACUUGAGGGUGAGGGUGGUCAUAAUUUGGCAGGGAGUCGAAAUUCAGCACGACACUGGCAUCACACCAUCCACAGGCUGAGCCUUGAUCAGAAGGACUCAGGCCCCUGAGUGACACCAGGCAAGCGGUCUCCAAUACACCACAUUUCCUACACUGCCUGUCAGACAGGGUUUCAGUGCUGGGCUCUUCCCUCUUAGCUUGCCGCUACUGAGUGAAUCCUGGUUAGUUACUUUUCCUCCGCUUAGCAUUGUGCCUGACUGCGUAAACAGCUGAUCAGUCAUGUGAGUUUAAUGUUCGCUACGUCAGAACUUGGGCAAAGCUGUUUCAAUGUGCCGUUCAGCGCAUUAACUCUUUUUUGAAAAAGGCAAAAACCACCUCAAGCGAGCAUGACCUUUUUUUUUUUUGACUAAAUAUGUUUUUUUUCCAAUGCGAUACUUCAAAAAGCAUAUAAAAAUACAUUGAUGGAAAUAUGGCUGCUGAAGCAGAAAAAAUUAUCACAAUGAUAGGAUUUUUUAAAUAUGUAGUUAUAAACCAAUAGUAAUUAAUUUCUUGAUAUAAGUUGUUUAUCAGAUAUGACCAUUAAACAGCUGUCAUGAAAUUAAUGUUAAAAAUUAAAUCAUUGUAUUCUGUGCAUGUUUUUUUUUUUUUAUGUUUUUAUUUCAGCUUGACAAACUUGCUGCACUUGAUUUCUUCCCCGUACUACUGUUGGGGAAGAAAUCCCGGGGAACCUUGGUGGCCGAUGUCAUCCUAGGCGGGGAUUAUAUUUUGGAACAUGAUUUGCUUCAGAAAGUUAAGCUAAUGUAUGAAGCUGUGCUCAAGAUUCAUUUUCAAAGACAGAAGAAGGCCACAAGUAGCACAGAAACCACCAGCCCUCCAGAAGCUACUGGCACCGAUACCAUCAGACCUCCAGAAGCUACUGGCACCGAUACCAUCAGCCCUCCAGAAGCUAAUGGCACUGAUACCAAUAGACCUCCAGAAGCUACUGGUACCGAUACCAUCAGACCUCCAGAAGCUACUGGCACCGAUACCAUCAGCCCUCCAGAAGCUACUGGCACCGAUACCAUCAGCCCUCCAGAAGCUACUGGCACCGAUACCA
This is a long non-coding RNA of Megalobrama amblycephala (Wuchang bream), 1918 nucleotides long. RefSeq lists it as uncharacterized. The transcript is spliced from 4 exons. Lineage: Eukaryota; Metazoa; Chordata; Actinopteri; Cypriniformes; Xenocyprididae. The record is from RefSeq and is a predicted model, not a curated record.